CUACUUCUCAGAGCAGGAAUGGGGCAACCUGGAGGAAUGGCAGAAGGAACUCUACAAGAACAUGAUGAAGAGUAACUACGAGUCACUGGUCUCCUUGGACUAUGCCAUCGCUAAACCAGAUCUUCUGUCCCGGAUCGAACAAGGGGAACGUCCCUGCACCGAGGAAGAGGAGGCAGCAACAAUGGACAGGGUGAUACCUUUGGAACCCAGCCCAGAAAAGAAUCCCCCCCCCCCCCCGC
This is a non-coding RNA of Notechis scutatus (mainland tiger snake), 239 nucleotides long. Lineage: Eukaryota; Metazoa; Chordata; Lepidosauria; Squamata; Elapidae. The record is from RefSeq and is a predicted model, not a curated record.